CCUACGGGAGGCAGCAGUAGGGAAUAUUGCACAAUGGGGGAAACCCUGAAGCAGCAACGCCGCGUGGAGGAAGAAGGUUUUAGGAUCGUAAACCCCUUUUGUUAGAGAAGAAAAUGACGGUAUCUAACGAAUAAGCACCGGCUAACUCCGUGCCAGCAGCCGCGGUAAUACGUAGGGGGCAAGCGUUACUCGGAAUGACUGGGCGUAAAGGGUGCGUAGGCGGGGGAUUAAGUCAGAUGUGAAAGCCUGUGGCUUAACCGCAGAACUGCAUUUGAAACUGUUACUCUGGAGUGUUGGAGAGGAGAGUGGAAUUCUAGGUGUAGGGGUGAAAUGCGUAGAUAUAAGGAGGAAUACCAGUGGCGAAGGCGGCCUGCUGGACCGUAACUGACGCUGAUGCUCGAAAGCGUGGGUAGCAAACAGGAUUAGAUACCCUGGUAGUC
RNAcentral lists this ribosomal RNA (440 nucleotides) under uncultured bacterium. RNAcentral describes it as "partial 16S ribosomal RNA". It matches the Rfam family "Bacterial small subunit ribosomal RNA", at positions 338 to 795 of the family's 1533-position model. The record is from RNAcentral.